UCGAAAGCUUGCUUCCGAUAGGCGUCGACCGGCGCACGGGUGAGUAACGCGUAUCCAACCUGCCCAUCACUUGGGGAUAACCUUGCGAAAGUAAGACUAAUACCCAAUGAUAUCUCUAGAAGACAUCUGAAGGAGAUUAAAGAUUUAUCGGUGAUGGAUGGGGAUGCGUCUGAUUAGCUUGUUGGCGGGGUAACGGCCCACCAAGCCGACGAUGGGUAGCCGACCUGAGAGGAUGAACGGCCACACUGGAACUGAGACACGGUCCAGACUCC
Molecule: ribosomal RNA, 272 nt
Filed under: uncultured bacterium
Lineage: Bacteria
Description: partial 16S ribosomal RNA
Rfam family: Bacterial small subunit ribosomal RNA
Source: RNAcentral